GACGAAACCGGAGGAAGGUGGGGAUGACGUCAAGUCAUCAUGGCCCUUACGGCCUGGGCUACACACGUGCUACAAUGGUCGGUACAAAGGGUUGCCAAGCCGCGAGGUGGAGCUAAUCCCAUAAAACCGAAUCGUAGUCCGGAUCGCAGUCUGCAACUCGACUGCGUGAAGUCGGAAUCGCUAGUAAUCGUGAAAUCAGAAUGUCACGGUGAAUACGUUCCCGGGCCUU
RNAcentral lists this ribosomal RNA (229 nucleotides) under uncultured Pseudomonas sp. Its description in RNAcentral is "partial 16S ribosomal RNA". It matches the Rfam family "Bacterial small subunit ribosomal RNA", at positions 1157 to 1382 of the family's 1533-position model. The record is from RNAcentral. Lineage: Bacteria; Pseudomonadati; Pseudomonadota; Gammaproteobacteria; Pseudomonadales; Pseudomonadaceae.